RNAcentral lists this ribosomal RNA (588 nucleotides) under uncultured bacterium. RNAcentral describes it as "bacterial SSU rRNA". It matches the Rfam family "Bacterial small subunit ribosomal RNA", at positions 337 to 917 of the family's 1533-position model. The record is from RNAcentral.
UCCUACGGGAGGCAGCAGUCGGGAAUUUUGGGCAAUGGGCGAAAGCCUGACCCAGCAACGCCGCGUGAAGGAUGAAAUCCCUCGGGAUGUAAACUUCGCAAGAACGGGAAGAAUAAGCCGGUGUAAAUACCACCGGCGAUGACGGUACUGUUUGUAAGCUCCGGCUAACUCCGUGCCAGCAGCCGCGGUAAUACGGGGGGAGCAAGCGUUGUUCGGAUUUACUGGGCGUAAAGGGCGCGUAGGCGGCCACCGCAAGUCGGUUGUGAAAUCUCCGGGCUUAACCCGGAAAGGUCAACUGAUACUGCGGGGCUAGAGUGCAGAAGGGGCAACUGGAAUUCUCGGUGUAGCGGUGAAAUGCGUAGAUAUCGAGAGGAACACCUGCGGCGAAGGCGGGUUGCUGGGCUGACACUGACGCUGAGGCGCGAAAGCUAGGGGAGCGAACGGGAUUAGAUACCCCGGUAGUCCUAGCCUUAAACGAUGAAUGCUUGGUGUCUGGGGUUUUAUAGUCCCCGGGUGCCGUCGCUAACGCUUUAAGCAUUCCGCCUGGGGAGUACGGUCGCAAGACUGAAACUCAAAGGAAUUGACGGA